This 466-nucleotide ribosomal RNA is filed under the name uncultured bacterium. RNAcentral describes it as "bacterial SSU rRNA". It matches the Rfam family "Bacterial small subunit ribosomal RNA", at positions 329 to 792 of the family's 1533-position model. The record is from RNAcentral.
GACCAGACUCCUACGGGAGGCAGCAGUGAGGAAUAUUGGUCAAUGGGCUUACGCCUGAACCAGCCAAGUCGCGUGAGGGAAGACUGCCCUAUGGGUUGUAAACCUCUUUUGUCAGGGAGCAACGCCGGCUACGUGUAGCCGGACUGAGAGUACCUGAAGAAAAAGCAUCGGCUAACUCCGUGCCAGCAGCCGCGGUAAUACGGAGGAUGCGGGCGUUAUCCGGAUUUAUUGGGUUUAAAGGGUGCGUAGGGGGCGAGUUAAGUCAGCGGAAAAUUUUCGGGGCCCAACCCCGACGAGCCGUUGAAACUGGCAGACUUGAGUUGGCGAGAAGUACGCGGAAUGCGCGGUGUAGCGGUGAAAUGCAUAGAUAUCGCGCAGAACUCCGAUUGCGAAGGCAGCAUGCCGGCUCCACACUGACGCUGAGGCACGAAAGCGUGGGUAUCGAACAGGAUUAGAUACCCUUGUA